UGGGGAAUAUUGGACAAUGGGCGAAAGCCUGAUCCAGCCAUGCCGCGUGUGUGAAGAAGGUCUUCGGAUUGUAAAGCACUUUAAGUUGGGAGGAAGGGCAGUAAGCGAAUACCUUGCUGUUUUGACGUUACCGACAGAAUAAGCACCGGCUAACUCUGUGCCAGCAGCCGCGGUAAUACAGAGGGUGCAAGCGUUAAUCGGAAUUACUGGGCGUAAAGCGCGCGUAGGUGGUUCGUUAAGUUGAAUGUGAAAGCCCCGGGCUCAACCUGGGAACUGCAUCCAAAACUGGCGAGCUAGAGUAGGGCAGAGGGUGGUGGAAUUUCCUGUGUAGCGGUGAAAUGCGUAGAUAUAGGAAGGAACACCAGUGGCGAAGGCGACCACCUGGGCUCAUACUGACACUGAGGUGCAAAAGCGUGGGGAGCAAACAGG
Molecule: ribosomal RNA, 429 nt
Filed under: Pseudomonadota bacterium
Lineage: Bacteria; Pseudomonadati; Pseudomonadota
Description: Proteobacteria bacterium partial 16S ribosomal RNA
Rfam family: Bacterial small subunit ribosomal RNA
Source: RNAcentral